RNAcentral lists this ribosomal RNA (201 nucleotides) under uncultured bacterium. RNAcentral's name for it is "partial 16S ribosomal RNA". It matches the Rfam family "Bacterial small subunit ribosomal RNA", at positions 30 to 225 of the family's 1533-position model. The record is from RNAcentral.
AUUGAACGCUGGCGGCAUGCCUUACACAUGCAAGUCGAACGGCAGCACGGGGGCGAACCCUCGGUGGCGAGUGGCGAACGGGUGAGUAAUACAUCGGAACGUGCCCCGUACGCGGGGGACGAACCAGUCGAAAGACUGGCUAAUACCGCAUACGCUCCACGGAGGAAAGACAGGGGAGUCGCAAGACCUCGCACUAUGGGA